AUGAGCUACAGCCGCGGGAAGCAGCAGAUGAGACGGCGGAGGCCAUGGCCGCCGGAUCCAGAGGAGGCGAAGCCUUGGCGGCCACCACUGCGGGACAACUCCUCGACCUGGUCGGCAUCAAGAGGCGGUGAUCCCGACAGGAAGAGGAUGACCGCAGGGAGGCAGGGGGAGCUCGGGGGACAUGUCGCCGCCGGUAGACAGUGGCUGUGCCACGGCGCCGCCGAGAUCGCGCUGGGUCUUGGCGCCCCAAAAAUUCGAGGGGAGGGGAAGGGCGGCGCGCCCUACUACCAAUCGUCUGCGUCGCUGCAGAUCGAGGCGAGGGGAAGUUCGGCGAUGCCUAGGGAAGGGGAAAUAGAUGGAUCGGGGGAGGGCGACACCGGCGAGGGAAGAAGGUGGAUUGGGGCAGGGCGGCGCCAGCGGGGAAAGAAAGUGGAUCGGGGGAGGGCGGCGCCGGCGGGGGAAGGUCGCCGGGCACGGGGGAGCCGCGCGCAUCUCGCUCCGGGGUGGUGGGUUGGCAGGGCAAAAGAGAUAGACAGGCGGCAGUACGGCUCUGGCAUCGGAGGCACGAGCCCCUGGCGUCGCCGGCAGUGGAAGGUGGAGGGGAGGUGGGAGGAGGCUGUGCAGGAGGAAGAAGGUGGGAAGGAGGGGAUCGGGCAUGAACAGAACGUGUGA
Molecule: ribosomal RNA, 672 nt
Filed under: Triticum aestivum (bread wheat)
Lineage: Eukaryota; Viridiplantae; Streptophyta; Magnoliopsida; Poales; Poaceae
Description: partial small subunit ribosomal RNA
Source: RNAcentral